UUUGCUCAAUUGACUUAGAGCAUUCCGAUUACCAUCGGAAGGGUCGGGGGUGCGAAUCCCUCAACUGCUACUCCA
RNAcentral lists this transfer RNA (75 nucleotides) under Belliella calami. Its description in RNAcentral is "tRNA-Val". The record is from RNAcentral. Lineage: Bacteria; Pseudomonadati; Bacteroidota; Cytophagia; Cytophagales; Cyclobacteriaceae.